CCUGGGAGGGCCCGGCAGGAGAUGGGGAAAUGGAGGGACUUGGCGCCUGGAAACUUCCUGGGGCCGGACGAGGCCUCCUCUUUGGAACCUCCGUGACCGUGCCUCUGAGAAACCAGCGCGUCGGAAACGACCACUCCUAAUUUUCCGUAAUACAAAGCUGCAGUCAGUGCACUUAGGAUUCCUAUCGUCUGUCUCCACGUGAUAACACUAAAGAGCCUUUACAUCUAUACCGGCCCAGGGCCUCAAGUGCAGAGACUGAGAGCUCUGCAGGACACAGCGUGGAGCUGCCAUUCCUCUACCGUUCCGUGAUCGAGUGGAAGAGCAUGUGUACUCUGAACAGGGGAUCCAAACCCUGAGAUGUUCUUUCCCAGCAGUCAGUGCGGCACAGGACUUUCUGUGGGAAUGCUAAGAGAGCAGGGGCCAGAGGGCUUUUAGCCAUCACCUCCCAUGGCCAGUCUUCACAAAUUACCUUUGGCUAAUUUGAUGAUCUCUCCUCUUGGGGUCUAGGACUUCAAACAUGUGCAGAAGCAAUUGCAGAAUUGAGGCAAGACAUUGUUCCACAGUAUAUUUUUUGUAUCACUGGCUCAGAAAAAGACUCAUUGAAAUCCUGUAUCAAAGCCGUGUGUGAACAUCUUGAGAAAGCAUCGGUUCACUGACUUGACAAGGGAGGAGGCAACCAAGAAUUCUGCCCUUUUUCAGUGCCUGAGUGUGAUAUUUUGCCUCAACAUCCCUCUUAGAUGAAAUUGUUGAUUGAAAAUCAUUUAAGUUUUUGCCCCAUGAUAAAAGAUCAGGUCCUCAGAAAGAGCUCCAAAGCAUUUACUGUUUGUUUGGUUUUGUUUUGUUUUGGUAAGUUUACCAUGAUUUUGCUUGAAUUGCUGUCUGUUGAUCUUCUCAGCUAAGAUGGAGGUAGAGUUGCACAGUGGAAGAGGACUGCAUAUAAGGAGGCAGCUCUGUCUCAGAGGACAAAAGGCCUGGGAGCACCCAGACAGGCAGUCACUCCCCUCCCAGUGGCCACUGUGGAGGUAUUUCAUAGAAAUGCUUGCUGGACCAUUCAGGUUUAGAGUUGGGACAAAACUGAGAACUCUUGAGAAUAUUGGACAGGAGUUAGGAAAUGACCUUCUCAUGCAGCUGGGGCAAGGAGGGGAGAACCUUGGGAUUGAAACUUGCAGUCCACCGCCUGCCCCUGCAGUGUGGCCCCUGUUACAUUUUCCUGCAACUCUGCCUUCUUGAGUGCAAAUGUCUCCGAAAGGGGCAAAUGCUUUGUAAGUGCCAACAGGGUGUGUUUCAGCGAAUGUUCACAGUGUGCACCGAUCCAGCUGAAGGCCUCUUCCCUUCCCCAUCACCCUCCCAUCAGUGCAAAAUUACCCUGCCCAGCAGGGAGUGAGGUGUGUGUCUCAGAAGAUUUUGUUGCUGUGCUCUUGAGUACUCACUCCUCAUCUCCUUUGACCAGUUUCCUAACACUCCCCUUGUUCACAACACAGAACAUGAGUGUUCUUUCCUGUCAUUGUGAUGCUGAUAAGCAGACAGUGAUUUCAGUGUGAAAAUGAGAAUGAAGUUUUUUUUUUUAAAGACAGGCUACAAUAAUUCCCACGCAGAGAGCCACAUACGAUGACACUGGAUUCCAAACAGCAAGAAUGUAUGGAGAAGAUGAGACCAACAGUGAGCUGAGAGAGGCCAGCCAGGAUUCACAUAUGCGAGGGGAUGCAUGGGAAUGGGGAUGGGACGUUGGUGGAUAGCAUCCUGGCUUGUCUCAGAAUGGACAUGGGUUGUGGAUUUCUAACUCCUGGAGAAACCAGAGUUCUAGGAAUUGUAAGCUGCUUUAUGUUAGGAAAGCAAAGAUGGUGUUCUGCCCUUCUGUCCCUUACAACUGUGCAUACUGCCACUAAACCUGGAAGCUGAGAAGGGUAUAAUGGCUACUCCUGACUUCUCAUCAAAUCAGCCUGCUAUUGUUUUCUGCAAUGGUUGUGUUUUGUGGUGAAGCCAAGAUUCACACCUGAGUCUCCUUACUGCAAGUUCUCACUCUCACAGUGGAGGGUUAACAAUAAUCACUUCAUAUGUUGCACUUUUUUGGAAAGAGUUACCAGAUAAAGUGCAAGAUCCCGGUGAAAUGUGAAUAACAGAUAAAGGAAAAACAGAUUUUUUGUAAAAGUGUACUCUAAAUAUCACAUGGAUCACAAUUAUAAUAAAAACUAAUUCACUGUUUUAUCUUGAAUUCAAAUUCCACUUGGUAUUUGUUAUUCAUACUUGCUAAA
Long non-coding RNA from Macaca mulatta (Rhesus monkey), 2252 nucleotides. RefSeq lists it as uncharacterized. Lineage: Eukaryota; Metazoa; Chordata; Mammalia; Primates; Cercopithecidae. The record is from RefSeq and is a predicted model, not a curated record.